AUUGAACGCUAGCGGGAUGCUUUACACAUGCAAGUCGAACGAGUGGCGGACGGGUGAGUAAUAUAUCGGAACGUGCCCAGUAGCGGGGGAUAACUACUCGAAAGAGUGGCUAAUACAGCAUACUAUUGGAGCGGCCGAUAUCAGAUUAGCUAGUGUGUGGGGUAAAGGCUCACCAAGGCAACGAUCCGUAGCUGGUUUGCUAGGAAGACCAGCCACACUGGGACUGAUAAACGGCCCAGACUCCUACGGGAGGCAGCAGUGGGGAAGUUUUGACAAUUGGGGAAACCCUGAUCCAGCCAUCCCGCGUGUAUGAGAAGGCCUUCGGGUUGUAAAGUACUUUUGUCAGAGAAGCGGUAUCUGCAGAAUAAGCACCGGCUAACUACGUGCCAGCAGCCGCGGUAAUAC
This 405-nucleotide ribosomal RNA is filed under the name uncultured bacterium. RNAcentral's name for it is "partial 16S ribosomal RNA". It matches the Rfam family "Bacterial small subunit ribosomal RNA", at positions 30 to 526 of the family's 1533-position model. The record is from RNAcentral.